Molecule: unclassified non-coding RNA, 251 nt
Filed under: plant metagenome
Description: partial contains small subunit ribosomal RNA, internal transcribed spacer 1, and 5.8S ribosomal RNA
Rfam family: Eukaryotic small subunit ribosomal RNA (bases 1-54)
Source: RNAcentral
UGAAGUAAAAGUCGUAACAAGGGCUCCGUAGGUGAACCUGCGGAGGGAUCAUUACAGAGUUCAUGCCCUACCGGGUAGAUCUCCCACCCUAUGUUAUUAUUACUUUGUUGCUUUGGCGGGCCGUUAGGCUCCGGCCCGACUACCGGCCCCGGCUGGUAAGCGCCCGCCAGAGGACCCAAAACCCUGAAUAUUAGUGUCGUCUGAGUACUAUAUAAUAGUUAAAACUUUCAACAACGGAUCUCUUGGUUCUG